Molecule: long non-coding RNA, 486 nt
Filed under: Helianthus annuus (common sunflower)
Lineage: Eukaryota; Viridiplantae; Streptophyta; Magnoliopsida; Asterales; Asteraceae
Source: RNAcentral
CUAUAGUGUGUGUUCUGGUCGAGAUUUCCACAGGAGAAAAAGGGGUUCUCUACAUUGAACCCUAGCAUACACAAAAUCAAUCAAAUUGAAGGCCAAAUCAGGCUCGAAUCAAAGGCACGAAUACAUACAAAUGAUCACCAAGUCGAGGGGAUCAAGAGUUUGACUCUUGACAAGCUAGAUGGAGGCUUGGGGAAAGAAGCGGGUCAAACGGAUCGUAUACGCGGAAAAGAGCAUAAUCCGGAUACAAGGUGAAGAUGGACCUAAUCCGAAUGAAGAUCAAGCGGCGAGCAAGAACCGAACACACGUUAAAUGAAGCUUCCGCGUCAAAUCUUGAUUUGUGUUGUUAUAAGUGAAUUAUGUAAACACUUAUAAAUUGUUUUUUUUGAAAUGUUGUAAUCAUUUGGGAAUGUUGGUAUAACAAGUUUUGUAAAGACACAUUUUAGCAUAAAAAUGUGUAUCUUAUUAUUAAAAUAUUAAUAAAACCAG